RNAcentral lists this transfer RNA (69 nucleotides) under Marmota monax (woodchuck). RNAcentral's name for it is "tRNA.Ala". The record is from RNAcentral. Lineage: Eukaryota; Metazoa; Chordata; Mammalia; Rodentia; Sciuridae.
GUUGUGGCCCUAAUGGUAGAGUGCUCAACUAGCAUAUGCGAGGCCCUGGGUUCGAUCCUCAGCACCACA